UGGGGAAUUUUGGACAAUGGGGGCAACCCUGAUCCAGCAAUGCCGCGUGUGUGAAGAAGGCCUUCGGGUUGUAAAGCACUUUUGUCCGGAAAGAAAACGCCGUGGUUAAUACCCGUGGCGGAUGACGGUACCGGAAGAAUAAGCACCGGCUAACUACGUGCCAGCAGCCGCGGUAAUACGUAGGGUGCAAGCGUUAAUCGGAAUUACUGGGCGUAAAGCGUGCGCAGGCGGUCCGCUAAGACAGAUGUGAAAUCCCCGGGCUUAACCUGGGAACUGCAUUUGUGACUGGCGGGCUAGAGUAUGGCAGAGGGGGGUAGAAUUCCACGUGUAGCAGUGAAAUGCGUAGAGAUGUGGAGGAAUACCGAUGGCGAAGGCAGCCCCCUGGGCCAAUACUGACGCUCAUGCACGAAAGCGUGGGGAGCAAACAGGAUUAGAUACCCUGGUAGUCCACGCCCUAAACGAUGUCACUAGUUG
Molecule: ribosomal RNA, 474 nt
Filed under: uncultured bacterium
Lineage: Bacteria
Description: partial 16S ribosomal RNA
Rfam family: Bacterial small subunit ribosomal RNA
Source: RNAcentral